RNAcentral lists this ribosomal RNA (385 nucleotides) under uncultured bacterium. RNAcentral describes it as "bacterial SSU rRNA". It matches the Rfam family "Bacterial small subunit ribosomal RNA", at positions 790 to 1167 of the family's 1533-position model. The record is from RNAcentral.
GUAGUCCACGCCCUAAACGAUGUGCACUAGACUGGAGCGGCUCUGACGUCGUUCUGGUCGUAGAGAAAUUGUUAAGUGCACCGCCUGGGUAGUACGGUCGCAAGGCUAAAACUCAAAGGAAUUGACGGGGGCUCACACAAGCGGUGGAGCAUGUUGCUUAAUUCGAAGCAACGCGAAGAACCUUACCUGGGUUUGACAUGUACGGAUUAACCGGUGGAAACACUGGCCACACUCGCAAGAGUGGAACGUACACAGGUGCUGCAUGGCUGUCGUCAGCUCGUGCUGUGAAGUGUCGGGUUAAGUCCCUUAACGAGCGCAACCCUUGUCGCUAGUUGCUAACAGGUAAUGCUGAGGACUCUAGCGAGACUGCCGGUGUCAAACCGGA